Molecule: ribosomal RNA, 722 nt
Filed under: Flectobacillus sp. BAB-3569
Lineage: Bacteria; Pseudomonadati; Bacteroidota; Cytophagia; Cytophagales; Flectobacillaceae
Description: bacterial LSU rRNA
Rfam family: Bacterial large subunit ribosomal RNA
Source: RNAcentral
UUAAAAGAWHUAAGGGUGUAUGGGGGAUGCCUAGGCUCUUGAAGGCGAUGAAGGACGUGUUAAGCUGCGAUAAGCUACGGGGAUUUGCACAAAAGAAUUGAUCCGUAGAUUUCCGAAUGGGGCAACCCAAUGGUUUGAAGAACCAUUACCACGAAGUGGGGCAAACCCGGAGAACUGAAACAUCUAAGUACCCGGAGGAAGAGAAAACAAAAGUGAUUCCGUAAGUAGUGGCGAGCGAACGCGGACUAGCCCAAACCGUUGUUGUUACGGCAAUGACGGGGUUGUAGGACGUUUUUUUAGAAAGGAUUUUAAUUUGAAUGAGUUGGGAAGCUCAGCCGUAGAAGGUGAUAGCCCUGUAAAAGUAAGGAAUCUGGACGUAAGCGUAUCCUGAGUAGGGGGGAGCUGGUGAAACUCCCUUUGAAUCAGCCGGCACCAUCCGGUAAGGCUAAAUACUAACAAGAGACCGAUAGUGAACGAGUACUGUGAAGGAAAGGUGAAAAGUACCCCGAAUAGGGGGGUGAAAAGACCCUGAAACCAUACACUUACAAGCGGUCGGAGCAGCGCGAUGCUGUGACGGCGUGCCUUUUGCAUAAUGACCCUACGAGUUACUCUUCCUGGCAAGAUUAAGGAUUGCAGAUCUGGAGUCGGAGCGAAAGCGAGUCUGAAAAGGGCGUUUAGUCAGGGGGAGUAGACGCGAAACCUUGUGAUCUACCCAUGGCCAG